Molecule: RNA transcript, 4126 nt
Organism: Pungitius pungitius (ninespine stickleback)
Lineage: Eukaryota; Metazoa; Chordata; Actinopteri; Perciformes; Gasterosteidae
Gene name: CD99 antigen-like protein 2
Exons: 4
Source: RefSeq, a predicted model, not a curated record
UCCCUAACAUACGCUGUUGCAUGACAUUUAAGAGGGAAACAUGUAUUUUUCUGUGAACGUCCAGAAGUGUCUUUGUGUAUAUUACUGUAAAUGAAUGACAGGAAUAGGCAAAAGAGGUCGUGCCUUCGAUUUGCAAAAUUUCCACAGGGACUUGAAUGUGUGGCAGUGCAGCUUAGACAGGUUACUAGGAUACGCAUGAAUGAGUUUUCUGAUCAGUCUAAACAAAUCUUUCUGAAUGUAACUAUCAUAGCUGCAUAUGCGAUACACAGUAAUAUGAUGGGCGUUGCUGCUGACCACGUGUUGUUCCGUAAAGAUCUGUUCCCAUACUGCAUAUUGUCUGAACACCUUGUUGACUCACUGCCUUCUCCCAUUUAAAUCCACCUAAUUUUUUGAGACUCAAUUUUCAUUUAAUUUAUCUUGAGUCACGCGAUCGCUGUGACUCAUUCCACCCCCCCUUUGUGUACUUUUUAAUUCCUCUGAGCUCAAGUUGCUGACUCACCCAUCGCAACCGAACAUCCGUUCUCACGUGCUUCUUUCUUCCUAUUUUGCCGCUUCAGCAUAUCCUGCCGUUGUUACUUGGUUUUGACUGAAGCCAGUGCGGGGAAGAGCUGGUAUUUAGAAGAGAUCAAUGAGAGGAAAACAAAGAUACUGGAUGAUCUUGCAGUAAACAAUCCCAUCUGUCUGAUUUCUUUACUCAUAUUUGAAUUUAGACAACACAUUCUGCAUUGAUUACGUAUCUGGUCCUUUCUCCUUUAUAGUGAAUUCAGAGGUCUUCAUUUCGCUAUUCAAUAUUUGAUUAAGUUUGCCUCAAAUGGCCAGGCAAUGCACCUUUAUCAAACCUUGAAUACUAGACAAAGUAUAUGUACUGUGAAGUGUACUUGACUGCUGUUAGGUGUGUCGAGCCUUCAUUAGAUCAGAAAGAGGAACCACCUAGUAUUUAGGCAGUUGAAUCAGUUUACUCUUAAUCAAUUGUUAGCUGUGCUUUUACACGUAACGGUGUAUUUUGGAUGUACUUUAACUAGUACUUCUGAGUGUAAAGGAUUUCUGUCAUCAUGGCGUUGCAGGUUUGAGGUGUGCAUUUGUUCGUGUGCCUUUAACAGACUGACACAGCAGGAAACCUAUCCAGAUCGGUGUUGUCAUAGUAACUGGGUUACAGGCUCAGACAGAUCCUGUCCCAGUGAAUGCUUUUUGGGGUCUGAAUGGUUGGGUGGGCGACUGAGAUGGAUUGCAGAAAAUGCUGCAACAAGAUGAUGCCUCUCACACAUUUAUAUUAGGCCAGGUCCGGAUCUUUGGCAGCCAUCCUGAGUACAGUUGGGGUAACUGUAGUGGGAGCAAUUGUUGGAUACUACACCUACCAGAAGAAGAAACUGUGCUUCAAAAAUAGACAAGAAGCGGAUCCAGAAGUUGCACGUAAAGCCGAUACCACAGAGGCUCAGUCGGAUCCCCAGGUCCUUAGUAACCUGCUGAAAUCCUCCUAGACCGGCAAUGAGCACAAGACUGCCUGGCCCCACUACUGGCAAGCAUAAUGGCAAAUCUCACUGUUAAGCUCUAUCUUCUUAGAGGAGCUAAAUUACUGUGAGGCCCCGGAGUUGGGCUCUGUGUAUGUGUGUGUGGGUGUGGUUGUGUGUCUCGGUAUGUUUGAUUUUCUAUGUUUGCGUGUUUGUGUGAGCCAAAGUGUCUGUAUACGCGAGUGUGAGGAUUAGUUCUCGUGUGUGUGUGUGUGUGUACACACGUGGGGUAUGUGAACUUUUAGGGUUUAAUCAUACAACAUAACAAUUUAUCAAAAUCGUUGGACAAACUUCUACUUGUGUGGUCAUUAAAGAUUCAAUGCCAAUCAAACAUAAAAUGGCAUAAAUUAAAGAACUACCUUUUUUCUAUUUCCAUUUUUACCGCUACUAUCCAGUUCUAGUAAAUCCGUGUGAAUGUAAACCAGUGACAGUUAUUGGUGUUGUUGAUAAUCAUCAAUGUUAAAGCCACACCUAUGAUUUUGAAAGUCCACUGACAACCACUUAAUUAAAAAAAAGAAUAAUCUGUUAGCAGAGCCAAAUGCAAGAUGGAUGGAAAUCGGGGCGCUUCAAUAACUAACGCUGUGUAUAUGGUGCCGAGGGGAAAUAGUACAGGAUGAAUUGUAGGAAAAGCUACAUGGUCCAAAGUAUGUUCCUUAGACCAGUGAUGUCACUGAGUGUGAUUGUGUGUCUAUUCUUUGGGUGGCGAAGGGACUUUUUAGAUUUAAGUCCUGUCAGGUGACGACCACUUCUCUUUAGUCAGUUCAAUAAAUCACAGUAAAAUAGUGAAAUUUCCAACUAACAAAAGUGAAAUCCUUACGAAAAUCAAAACUCUGUUUAUUCAUUGCAAAUUGAUCAAAAAAUCAAACACAUUUGACAAUGCUAUAUGAACAAGUGGAGUAGAGUCUAGUACAACCUUGUUUCUGUCAAUGGAUGAAUGUUCACUUGAUAUAUCGGCAAAUUCAACAGCAGUCGUGUUGUAUUGUAUUAGACAAUGUUCUGAUGUAUUAUGUGGCAGUCUAGUUGUGAUGCAGUAAUUUAUCCUCUCUAGUGCCUUUCACUGAGCCUGGCUUGACCAAUUGACUGACACACAGGGACGAGAGCUCGGACAACACAAGUUAAAACAUUUGUCGAAUGUAUUAAAAUAUUUAGAGGCCAUUGAGGAAUGUAAGAUCUUGAUUAAUUAUUUUAGGUGGUUGAAAAGCCUCUCUGUGGACAUCUACGUGAAACUUACAUUAUUCCUAUAGCUGCGGUUAAUGGGCUAUUUACUGUUGUACUUCAAGUGCAUUUUUUUUCAAACAAUAUCACAUACAAACUCUUUAAACAGCCUCACAUUUCAGCCAUGACAAUAAUCCUCUCUGUGUGUCUGCUUUGAUCAAGCCAGAGGCUGUCAGUGUUUUUUUUUUUAAUUGUCCUUAAAUCAACCUCCAUUCACUUGUGAUUUUAUAUGCAUUUUACUUCUGGCAGUGGUUGAUUAUUGUGAAAUGCCUCAGAAGCAGCGCUAGUGCUUUAAUAAAAAAAAAAAGGCCAACAGUUACUUUUUUGCUGUAGCACUAAAAAAAACAUUAACUUCUGAAUGUCUUUUUGUUGCCUUGCAGUUUUGUACUUGCUCUGCUCCCUUUACAUUUCCAAAUAGGGUUGCACAGUGCUGCAGCUCAUGUAAAGUGUUUUACUCGUUAAGCACUAUAUAACUGCAAUACAGGACAGAGACUGUUUCUAACAGCCUAGCCUCAAACCGAAAAUGAUUAAUUGUCUGUGAUGUCACUAUUGAUUAAUCCUACUGUGCAGACUGUGGGCUGGACUCUGGCUGAAAGCUCUGAAUGAAAUGCCUUCUUUAACCUUUGAUAGAGCUACACUUUUUAACUAAAAAGAGGAAAGUGUGUCUUAAAUCUCUCACUGCAUCUCCUACAACGGCAUGGAGUGAUGAAGCACAAAAUACCCACUAAAUAACAGUAAACGCUUUCAGAUGUUGCCUUCAAAACACGACAUCCUCCUUUCCGUUUAGUACCGUUUGUGCUCUAAUAAGUGCACAUGGAAUCAAUAAAGCAGUGUGCUGCGGGUCACAUUCAGAGACCUUAAAGGAGACUGAAGCAACAAUACAGCCCAUAAAAUGGCACAAGGAAUGCUUGUGUUUUGAGCAUUAUGGUCCAGUCUACAUUUAGUCCCAAGCUGUCACAUUCCUUGUAAACACAAAACCAGAAUGUAAAACCUAGAAAAUUGUAAACUUAUUGGGUCCCAAAGUGCACUUCCAAAAAGAUGCUAGGGCCUCACCGUGGCACUGACCAGUCCUGCCUUACAACAUCCCAGAGAGGAAAGCAGAGAAGAUACGUCAUCAUGAAAGCUUAAACAAUGAAACAAGCAGAGGUGUUUUGCAGGUGAUUUUAAUAACAAUUUCUAUGGGAGAAGCACUUUCCUAUCCUGUAUACGUCUUGAUUUAUUAAACAUGUUAGACAAUUCCUAUUUGAUUUAGCUAAGUGACUCUUGCUUUUUUAUUUAAAGUGUUUUAAGUUUCCGUUAUGAACUGUUUUUUUUUUUCUUUUCUUUUUCAUCCGGCACUUGUGUUGUUCAUCUGGAAUUGUGUAAAUAAUGUUUUAGGAGUCAAUAAACAGUUUUCGUGGGAA